Coccinella septempunctata (seven-spotted ladybird) is the source of this 368-nucleotide long non-coding RNA. RefSeq lists it as uncharacterized. The transcript has 2 exons. NCBI's taxonomy places the organism in Eukaryota, Metazoa, Arthropoda, Insecta, Coleoptera, Coccinellidae. The record is from RefSeq and is a predicted model, not a curated record.
GUGCAUUUAUAGUGCUGUGCGAGCUUGGUGGAAACUAAUUAAUGUACGGUAUUUCAUUGAAAGAAAAUGAAGAUAAUUCUGUGUUUGACAACCUUGAUAUUGUUUUACUGUAUUGGUUUGUUCUGUUGUGUUUUCAGGUUAUGUUUUCCUAUGAAUUAUUUUGGAUGUAAAUAUUCUGGAAUUUUCCAAAUGAAUUUUAGCCAAACUUUUAGUAUUUUAAGCUGUUUUUUUGUGAUUUGACGUGGAAUAUACAGUUGAUGCCGUCGGUUUUUAAAGUUUUUACAUCUGAAUGUCUUAUUUAUAGUAUAGAGGCCUGAUGAAGCAAACGAGAGUUUGCGAAACGUUGCUGAAUAUACUUUAAGAUCUUU